UUCGCUCCUGUUGUUUCGUUUAUUGUUCGCGUCCCGAUGUUUUGUACCUAUUAUGAUAAUAUUAUUCUAAACCUUUUUUUUUGCAUUUUAAUUAACGCUCGUUGUAACACACGCAACAAACAUUUUUUUGUGAUUUGUAAAAAUAAAAUAAUUAUUUGCUUGUUGGUAACUUAGGCGUUUUGCUUACAUCGUAAUUCAAAGGUUCCUAGCCUCAAACCUUUCCUCUUAAAUUACCACAGCACUAUCACAGAUAUUAUCUAUAAAGCACAGAUAAUAUAGAUAAUAUGUGGGUACAACAGAUUAACAUAUAACAGAUUCAGCUGAACGUCAUAUACGGAAAUUGCUUAUUUUUGCGAUUACGUUUUCGUUUUAACUUUUGAAUUAACACUGAAUAGUGAAUAAUGGAUAUUAUAUUAUUAUGUCUAUAAUAUCCAUUAAAUUUGACUGAAAAAAAUAUUGUCACUGGCUACAUUGAUAGGAAGUAAUGUAACCAUCAGUGAGAAUUACUCUGGGCCGGUUAGCUUUUUGAGUGACUAUUGUUUGUUACUGGAUCCGAUAGAAGAACUUGAAAAAACUAGAGCUGAAAUAAAACGUUUGAAAUAUGAGAAUGACCUUUGAAAAUAGAAAUUGAACAAAUUGAAAAAUGUUUUAUUUUGUUUCACAGGAAGAACUUGAAAAAACUAGAGCUGAAAUAAAACGUUUGAAAUAUGAGAAUGACCUUUGAAAAUAGAAAUUGAACAAAUUGAAAAAAUUGAAGAAAAGAAGUUAGCUCUGCUAGAAUUUUAACACCUAAAGAGUGAAGUUCAAAAAAAGUAAUGAAUUAUUAAAUACUUUCAUUUGUGAUGACCAGAUUCUGGUUUUAAAUAAACCGCCUAGAAAGUGGGCAAAC
Metopolophium dirhodum (rose-grain aphid) is the source of this 889-nucleotide long non-coding RNA. RefSeq lists it as uncharacterized. Lineage: Eukaryota; Metazoa; Arthropoda; Insecta; Hemiptera; Aphididae. The transcript has 3 exons. The record is from RefSeq and is a predicted model, not a curated record.